CUGAGCCAAAGCUGCACUGCACAGAAGCAACAUGAUUACAGGGCAGGUGGUGACACAGCUCCUUACUGGUCUGAGUGAACCCUGAUAGCAUCACAAAAGGAUCUGGGGAUUAAAAGGAAGCAGGAGGAAGAAAAGCAGUCUGCUUGUUGGAACAAAAGAAAGGCAGAGACCAUUUGGGAAGUGCUCAGAUACUAUGUUGAGAGUGUCAGAUAAGAAGAUAAAAUUUAUUAGAAGGAUUAUUCUGUAUCUGCAGAAUUUCUUACAGUCAAGAUAGGGAAUGCUACAAAUACUGAAAGAAACUGGAAAGAAGGAUUAUGACCAACUCCCUCUUAGCACCUGCUUGGACCACCGACCUCUGCCCUCAUCAUCUGCUGCAGCCUGAUGGUACCACAACUUGCUGGGAUAACACUUCUCUGUAACUGAGACAGACAGGGGAGCAGGUUUCAGAAGCUAUUUACCCUUCAAAAUUUCUCAUUAGAGAUUAUAGUGAUUUCUUCUCUUUGGGGACAUUAUGUGAAAUCACCCACACAACAGUAAUCCUACAAAAACGAGGUAUAUGAAAAAACAGAGAGAAAAUGGAAUUAAAACAAAAUUGAUUUUCUUAACAUAUUUAGAUGUUUACUUCUCAUAUGGAGGGGCUGCAUGGUCAUUAUAAAAGGAGGAAGUUUAGAACAGAAGGGAGCUGCAGGGAAAAGAAAGAGCCCUGCAGUCACUCUCUGGAAUUGAAGGAGGUGGUGUGAAGCCACAGAGGAAAGGGAUAUGGACCAAUGUAGAACCCUGACAGAAAGAUGUGAGGACCAUGGAGCCUGCAGUUGGGGCUGAAGAUCUUU
Mauremys reevesii (Reeves's turtle) is the source of this 830-nucleotide long non-coding RNA. RefSeq lists it as uncharacterized. The transcript is spliced from 3 exons. Lineage: Eukaryota; Metazoa; Chordata; Testudines; Geoemydidae. The record is from RefSeq and is a predicted model, not a curated record.